GAUGAACGCUGGCGGCAUGCCUAAUACAUGCAAGUCGAACGAGAGGAAGGAAAGCUUGCUUUUCUGAAUCUAGUGGCGAACGGGUGAGUAACACGUAGGUAACCUGCCCAUGUGCCCGGGAUAACUUCUGGAAACGGAUGCUAAAACCGGAUAGGUAGCAGACAAGCAUUUGACUGCUAUUAAAGUGGCUAAGGCCAUGAACAUGGAUGGACCUGCGGUGCAUUAGCUAGUUGGUGAGGUAACGGCCCACCAAGGCGACGAUGCAUAGCCGGCCUGAGAGGGCGGACGGCCACAUUGGGACUGAGACACGGCCCAAACUCCUACGGGAGGCAGCAGUAGGGAAUUUUCGUCAAUGGGGGGAACCCUGAACGAGCAUGCCGCGUGAGUGAGGAAGGUCUUCGGAUCGUAAAGCUCUGUUGUAAGAGAAAAACGACAUUCAUAGGGAAUGAUGAGUGUGUGAUGGUAUCUUACCAGAAAGUCACGGCUAACUACGUGCCAGCCGCCGCGGUAA
This 511-nucleotide ribosomal RNA is filed under the name uncultured bacterium. RNAcentral's name for it is "partial 16S ribosomal RNA". It matches the Rfam family "Bacterial small subunit ribosomal RNA", at positions 28 to 523 of the family's 1533-position model. The record is from RNAcentral.